GCCGGGUGGGGUGGCCGUACCUGUCAUCCCAGCCACUCCGGAGGCUGAGGCAGGAGGAUGGCAAGUUGGAGGCCAGCCUCAGCCACUU
Molecule: small RNA, 88 nt
Filed under: Marmota monax (woodchuck)
Lineage: Eukaryota; Metazoa; Chordata; Mammalia; Rodentia; Sciuridae
Source: RNAcentral